This is a non-coding RNA of Pelobates cultripes (western spadefoot toad), 206 nucleotides long. NCBI's taxonomy places the organism in Eukaryota, Metazoa, Chordata, Amphibia, Anura, Pelobatidae. The record is from the annotation of a GenBank genome assembly.
AGCACAGUGGGUUUACUUUAGGCAUUCUUAUCUCCUGUGCUGUUAAUUGAACUUUAUUUACACCGAGGAUGCUCCUGCAGGUUCUAGCAACAAUUAACAGAGUUGGAGAUAAGAAAUUCAAAAUGAAUCACACUGUGCAAUAAGGGAAGCAAAAAGGCUUUGUGAGUCUCAGUCAGGGGAGGUGUGGCUAGAGCUGCAUAACAAAG